AUGGUAGGAUAGAGGCCUACCAUGGUGGUAACGGGUAACGGGUGUUAGGGCACGACACCGGAGAGGGAGCCUGAGAAACGGCUACCACAUCCAAGGAAGGCAGCAGGUGCGCAAAUUACCCAAUCCCAACACGGGGAGGUAGUGACAAUAAAUAACAAUACAGGGCUCUUUUGGGUCUUAUAAUUGGAAUGAGUACAAUUUAAAUCUCUUAACGAGGAACAAUUGGAGGGCAAGUCUGGUGCCAGCAGCCGCGGUAAUUCCAGCUCCAAUAGCGUAUAUNAAAGUUGUUGCAGUUAAAAAGCUUGUAGUUGAAUUUCGGGAUCAAUAUGUCGGUCGUGCCUUCGGUACGUACUGGUAUCAUUGGUCUCUCCUUUCUGACGAACCAUGAUGUCAUUAAUUUGGUGUUAUGGGGAGUUAGGACUGUUACUUUGAAAAAAUUAGAGUGUUUAAAGCAGGCUUUAGCUUGAAUACAUUAGCAUGGAAUAAUGAAAUAGGACGUUCGAACCUAUNUUGUUGGUUUCUAGGAUCAACGUAAUGAUUAAUAGGGAUAGUUGGGGCAUUAGUAUUCAAUUGUCAGAGGUGAAAUUCUUGGAUUUAUUGAAGACUAACUACUGCGAAAGCAUUUGCCAAGGAUGUUUUCAUUAAUCAAGAACGAAAGUUAGGGGAUCGAAGACGAUCAGAUACCGUCGUAGUCUUAACCAUAAACUAUGCCGACUAGGGAUCGGACGAUGUUAAUUUUUUAAUGACUCGUUCGGCGCCUUACGGGAAACCAAAGUGUUUGGG
This 783-nucleotide ribosomal RNA is filed under the name uncultured Glomus. Its description in RNAcentral is "SSU rRNA". It matches the Rfam family "Eukaryotic small subunit ribosomal RNA", at positions 325 to 1111 of the family's 1831-position model. Lineage: Eukaryota; Fungi; Glomeromycota; Glomeromycetes; Glomerales; Glomeraceae. The record is from RNAcentral.